Molecule: ribosomal RNA, 1462 nt
Filed under: Bacillus amyloliquefaciens
Lineage: Bacteria; Bacillati; Bacillota; Bacilli; Caryophanales; Bacillaceae
Description: bacterial SSU rRNA
Rfam family: Bacterial small subunit ribosomal RNA
Source: RNAcentral
ANGNCACGGGCGGCGUGCUAUACAUGCAAGUCGAGCGGACAGAUGGGAGCUUGCUCCCUGAUGUUAGCGGCGGACGGGUGAGUAACACGUGGGUAACCUGCCUGUAAGACUGGGAUAACUCCGGGAAACCGGGGCUAAUACCGGAUGCUUGUUUGAACCGCAUGGUUCAGACAUAAAAGGUGGCUUCGGCUACCACUUACAGAUGGACCCGCGGCGCAUUAGCUAGUUGGUGAGGUAACGGCUCACCAANGGGCGAACGAUUGCGUAGCCGAACUGAGAGGGUGAUCGGCCACACUGGGACUGAGACACGGCCCAGACUCCUACCGGAGGCAGCAGUAAGGAAUCUUCCGCAAUGAACGAAAGUCUGACGGAGCAACGCCGCGUGAGUGAUGAAGGUUUUCGGAUCGUAAAGCUCUGUUGUUAGGGAAGAACAAGUGCCGUUCAAAUAGGGCGGCACCUUGACGGUACCUAACCCAGAAAGCCACGGCUAACUACGUGCCAGCAGCCGCGGUAAUACGUAGGUGGCAAGCGUUGUCCGGAAUUAUUGGGCGUAAAGGGCUCGCAGGCGGUUUCUUAAGUCUGAUGUGAAAGCCCCCGGCUCAACCGGGGAGGGUCAUUGGAAACUGGGGAACUUGAGUGCAGAAGAGGAGAGUGGAAUUCCACGUGUAGCGGUGAAAUGCGUAGAGAUGUGGAGGAACACCAGUGGCGAAGGCGACUCUCUGGUCUGUAACUGACGCUGAGGAGCGAAAGCGUGGGGAGCGAACAGGAUUAGAUACCCUGGUAGUCCACGCCGUAAACGAUGAGUGCUAAGUGUUAGGGGGUUUCCGCCCCUUAGUGCUGCAGCUAACGCAUUAAGCACUCCGCCUGGGGAGUACGGUCGCAAGACUGAAACUCAAAGGAAUUGACGGGGGCCCGCACAAGCGGUGGAGCAUGUGGUUUAAUUCGAAGCAACGCGAAGAACCUUACCAGGUCUUGACAUCCUCUGACAAUCCUAGAGAUAGGACGUCCCCUUCGGGGGCAGAGUGACAGGUGGUGGCAUGGUUGUCGUCAGNCUCGUGUCGUGAGAUGUUGGGUUAAGUCCCGCAACGAGCGCAACCCUUGAUCUUAGUUGCCAGCAUUCAGUUGGGCACUCUAAGGUGACUGCCGGUGACAAACCGGAGGAAGGUGGGGAUGACGUCAAAUCAUCAUGCCCCUUAUGACCUGGGCUACACACGUGCUACAAUGGACAGAACAAAGGGCAGCGAAACCGCGAGGUUAAGCCAAUCCCACAAAUCUGUUCUCAGUUCGGAUCGCAGUCUGCAACUCGACUGCGUGAAGCUGGAAUCGCUAGUAAUCGCGGAUCAGCAUGCCGCGGUGAAUACGUUCCCGGGCCUUGUACACACCGCCCGUCACACCACGAGAGUUUGUAACACCCGAAGUCGGUGAGGUAACCUUUAUGGAGCCAGCCGCCGAAGGUGACAGA